AACCGUGGUAAUUCUAGAGCUAAUACAUGCUAAAAACCCUGACUUCGGGAAGGGUGUAUUUAUUAGAUAAAAAACCAAUGCCCUUCGGGGCUCUUUGGUGAUUCAUGAUAACUUAACGGAUCGCAUGGCCUUGCGCCGGCGACGGUUCAUUCAAAUUUCUGCCCUAUCAACUUUCGAUGGUAAGGUAUUGGCUUACCAUGGUUUCAACGGGUAACGGGGAAUUAGGGUUCGAUUCCGGAGAGGGAGCCUGAGAAACGGCUACCACAUCCAAGGAAGGCAGCAGGCGCGCAAAUUACCCAAUCCCGACACGGGGAGGUAGUGACAAUAAAUACUGAUACAGGGCUCUUUUGGGUCUUGUAAUCGGAAUGAGUACAAUUUAAACCUCUUAACGAGGAACAAUUGGAGGGCAAGUCUGGUGCCAGCAGCCGCGGUAAUUCCAGCUCCAAUAGCGUAUAUUAAAGUUGUUGCAGUUAAAAAGCUCGUAGUUGAAUCUUGGGCCUGGCUGGCCGGUCCGCCUCACCGCGUGUACUGGUCUGGCCGGGCCUUUCCUUCUGGAGAACCUCAUGCCCUUCAUUGGGUGUGUUGGGGAACCAGGACUUUUACUUUGAAAAAAUUAGAGUGUUCAAAGCAGGCCUUUGCUCGAAUACGUUAGCAUGGAAUAAUAGAAUAGGACGUGCGGUCCUAUUUUGUUGGUUUCUAGGACCGCCGUAAUGAUUAAUAGGGAUAGUCGGGGGCAUCAGUAUUCAAUUGUCAGAGGUGAAAUUCUUGGAUUUAUUGAAGACUAACUACUGCGAAAGCAUUUGCCAAGGAUGUUUUCAUUAAUCAGUGAACGAAAGUUAGGGGAUCGAAGACGAUCAGAUACCGUCGUA
RNAcentral lists this ribosomal RNA (869 nucleotides) under Vaginatispora amygdali. RNAcentral describes it as "SSU rRNA". It matches the Rfam family "Eukaryotic small subunit ribosomal RNA", at positions 145 to 1022 of the family's 1831-position model. Lineage: Eukaryota; Fungi; Ascomycota; Dothideomycetes; Pleosporales; Lophiostomataceae. The record is from RNAcentral.